RNAcentral lists this unclassified non-coding RNA (331 nucleotides) under soil metagenome. RNAcentral describes it as "partial contains 5.8S ribosomal RNA, internal transcribed spacer 2, and large subunit ribosomal RNA". The stretch from base 1 to 120 matches the Rfam family "5.8S ribosomal RNA", at positions 35 to 154 of the family's 154-position model. The record is from RNAcentral.
GAUGAAGAACGCAGCGAAAUGCGAUACGUAAUGUGAAUUGCAGAUUUCAGUGAAUCAUCGAAUCUUUGAACGCACAUUGCGCCCGCCAGUAUUCUGGCGGGCAUGCCUGUUCGAGCGUCAUUUCAACCAUCAAGCGCCUCGCUUGUGUUGGGGCCCUGCGGCUGCCGCAGGCCCCUAAAUCCAGUGGCGGGCUCGUCGUCGUACCGAGUGCAGUAAACAUCAUCGCUCAGGGAACCCGACGGGUGCCGGCCGUGAAACCCCCCCUCCUCAAGGUUGACCUCGGAUCAGGUAGGAAUACCCGCUGAACUUAAGCAUAUCAAUAAGCGGAGGA